RNAcentral lists this ribosomal RNA (700 nucleotides) under uncultured beta proteobacterium. Its description in RNAcentral is "bacterial SSU rRNA". It matches the Rfam family "Bacterial small subunit ribosomal RNA", at positions 56 to 753 of the family's 1533-position model. The record is from RNAcentral. Lineage: Bacteria; Pseudomonadati; Pseudomonadota; Betaproteobacteria.
UGCAAGUCGAACGGUAACAGGCCGCAAGGUGCUGACGAGUGGCGAACGGGUGAGUAAUGCAUCGGAACGUGCCCAGUCGUGGGGGAUAACGCAGCGAAAGCUGCGCUAAUACCGCAUACGAUCUAUGGAUGAAAGCGGGGGACCGUAAGGCCUCACGCGAUUGGAGCGGCCGAUGUCAGAUUAGGUAGUUGGUGGGGUAAAGGCUCACCAAGCCAACGAUCUGUAGCUGGUCUGAGAGGACGACCAGCCACACUGGGACUGAGACACGGCCCAGACUCCUACGGGAGGCAGCAGUGGGGAAUUUUGGACAAUGGGCGCAAGCCUGAUCCAGCAAUGCCGCGUGCAGGAAGAAGGCCUUCGGGUUGUAAACUGCUUUUGUACGGAACGAAACGGUCUGGGUUAAUACCCUGGGCUAAUGACGGUACCGUAAGAAUAAGCACCGGCUAACUACGUGCCAGCAGCCGCGGUAAUACGUAGGGUGCAAGCGUUAAUCGGAAUUACUGGGCGUAAAGCGUGCGCAGGCGGUUUUGUAAGACAGGCGUGAAAUCCCCGGGCUCAACCUGGGAAUGGCGCUUGUGACUGCAAAGCUGGAGUGCGGCAGAGGGGGAUGGAAUUCCGCGUGUAGCAGUGAAAUGCGUAGAUAUGCGGAGGAACACCGAUGGCGAAGGCAAUCCCCUGGGCCUGCACUGACGCUCAUGCA